UUGAUCAUUUCAGGGAUCAUUCCUAUACUGUGUUACUAGAGAAUUGUGGCAGAAAGUGUUGCAUGGAGAUAACCAGGAGGAGGAGCUGAGGUGUUCUCUUCUGAGAGAUGAAGCUGGCUUGUGGGAUUGCCCUUCAGUAGCUGCCCCCUGCCAUGACUGAUCGCUCUUCUCUCUCUUUGGGCUGGAUGUGGAUGAGAAUCAAAACUGAGGGGU
Gracilinanus agilis (Agile Gracile Mouse Opossum) is the source of this 213-nucleotide small nucleolar RNA. RefSeq annotates it as small nucleolar RNA U3. Lineage: Eukaryota; Metazoa; Chordata; Mammalia; Didelphimorphia; Didelphidae. The transcript has a single exon. The record is from RefSeq and is a predicted model, not a curated record.